UACGAAGGGGGCUAGCGUUGCUCGGAAUCACUGGGCGUAAAGCGCACGUAGGCGGCUUUUUAAGUCAGGGGUGAAAUCCUGGAGCUCAACUCCAGAACUGCCUUUGAUACUGGGAAGCUUGAGUCCGGAAGAGGUGAGUGGAACUCCGAGUGUAGAGGUGAAAUUCGUAGAUAUUCGGAAGAACACCGGUGGCGAAGGCGGCUCACUGGUCCGGUACUGACGCUGAGGUGCGAAAGCGUGGGGAGCAAACAGG
RNAcentral lists this ribosomal RNA (253 nucleotides) under uncultured bacterium. Its description in RNAcentral is "partial 16S ribosomal RNA". It matches the Rfam family "Bacterial small subunit ribosomal RNA", at positions 524 to 776 of the family's 1533-position model. The record is from RNAcentral.